GAUGAACGCUGGCGGCGUGCCUAAUACAUGCAAGUCGAGCGAACAGACGAUGAGCUUGCUCCUCUGACGUUAGCGGCGGACGUGUGAGUAACACGUGUAUAACCUACCUAUAAGUCUGGGAUAACUUCGGGAAACCGGAGCUAAUACCGGAUAAUAUAUUGAACCGCAUGGUUCAAUAGUGAAAGACGUUUUUUCUUUCACUUAUAGAUGGAUCCGCGCCGCAUUAGCUAGUUGGUAAGGUAACUGCUUACCAAGGCGACGAUGCGUAGCCGACAUGAGAGGGUGAUCGGCCACACUGGAAGUGAGACACGGACCAGACUACGACGGGAGGGAGCAGUAGGGAAGCUUCCGCAAUGGGCGAAAGGCUGACGGAGCAACGCCGCGUGAGUGAUGAAGGUCUUGGGAUCGUAAAACUCUGUUAUUAGGGAAGAACAAAUGUGUAAGUAAAUAUGCACGUAUUGACGGUAACUAAUAAGAAAGCAACGGCUAACUACGUG
RNAcentral lists this ribosomal RNA (497 nucleotides) under uncultured bacterium. RNAcentral describes it as "partial 16S ribosomal RNA". It matches the Rfam family "Bacterial small subunit ribosomal RNA", at positions 28 to 507 of the family's 1533-position model. The record is from RNAcentral.